This 1433-nucleotide ribosomal RNA is filed under the name Escherichia coli. Its description in RNAcentral is "partial 23S ribosomal RNA". It matches the Rfam family "Bacterial large subunit ribosomal RNA", at positions 1 to 1474 of the family's 2925-position model. Lineage: Bacteria; Pseudomonadati; Pseudomonadota; Gammaproteobacteria; Enterobacterales; Enterobacteriaceae. The record is from RNAcentral.
UUGUGAGGUUAAGCGACUAAGCGUACACGGUGGAUGCCCUGGCAGUCAGAGGCGAUGAAGGACGUGCUAAUCUGCGAUAAGCGUCGGUGAGGUGAUAUGAACCGUUAUAACCGGCGAUUUCCGAAUGGGGAAACCCAGUGUGUUUCGACACACUAUCAUUAACUGAAUCCAUAGGUUAAUGAGGCGAACCGGGGGAACUGAAACAUCUAAGUACCCCGAGGAAAAGAAAUCAACCGAGAUUCCCCCAGUAGCGGCGAGCGAACGGGGAGGAGCCCAGAGCCUGAAUCAGUGUGUGUGUUAGUGGAAGCGUCUGGAAAGGCGCGCGAUACAGGGUGACAGCCCCGUACACAAAAAUGCACAUAUUGUGAGCUCGAUGAGUAGGGCGGGACACGUGGUAUCCUGUCUGAAUAUGGGGGGACCAUCCUCCAAGGCUAAAUACUCCUGACUGACCGAUAGUGAACCAGUACCGUGAGGGAAAGGCGAAAAGAACCCCGGCGAGGGGAGUGAAAAAGAACCUGAAACCGUGUACGUACAAGCAGUGGGAGCCUCUUAAUGGGGUGACUGCGUACCUUUUGUAUAAUGGGUCAGCGACUUAUAUUCUGUAGCAAGGUUAACCGAAUAGGGGAGCCGAAGGGAAACCGAGUCUUAACUGGGCGUUAAGUUGCAGGGUAUAGACCCGAAACCCGGUGAUCUAGCCAUGGGCAGGUUGAAGGUUGGGUAACACUAACUGGAGGACCGAACCGACUAAUGUUGAAAAAUUAGCGGAUGACUUGUGGCUGGGGGUGAAAGGCCAAUCAAACCGGGAGAUAGCUGGUUCUCCCCGAAAGCUAUUUAGGUAGCGCCUCGUGAAUUCAUCUCCGGGGGUAGAGCACUGUUUCGGCAAGGGGGUCAUCCCGACUUACCAACCCGAUGCAAACUGCGAAUACCGGAGAAUGUUAUCACGGGAGACACACGGCGGGUGCUAACGUCCGUCGUGAAGAGGGAAACAACCCAGACCGCCAGCUAAGGUCCCAAAGUCAUGGUUAAGUGGGAAACGAUGUGGGAAGGCCCAGACAGCCAGGAUGUUGGCUUAGAAGCAGCCAUCAUUUAAAGAAAGCGUAAUAGCUCACUGGUCGAGUCGGCCUGCGCGGAAGAUGUAACGGGGCUAAACCAUGCACCGAAGCUGCGGCAGCGACACUAUGUGUUGUUGGGUAGGGGAGCGUUCUGUAAGCCUGUGAAGGUGGCCUGUGAGGGUUGCUGGAGGUAUCAGAAGUGCGAAUGCUGACAUAAGUAACGAUAAAGCGGGUGAAAAGCCCGCUCGCCGGAAGACCAAGGGUUCCUGUCCAACGUUAAUCGGGGCAGGGUGAGUCGACCCCUAAGGCGAGGCCGAAAGGCGUAGUCGAUGGGAAACAGGUUAAUAUUCCUGUACUUGGUGUUACUGCGAAGGGGGGACG